RNAcentral lists this small RNA (725 nucleotides) under Pan troglodytes (chimpanzee). RNAcentral's name for it is "processed transcript". Lineage: Eukaryota; Metazoa; Chordata; Mammalia; Primates; Hominidae. The record is from RNAcentral.
GAGCCGCAGAGCCCCGGGGUCUCGGCUGAGCAGCGGCGGCGGCGGCGGCGGCACCAAGUAUCCGCGGAGCUGGAAUGACUGGGAACCCAGCCGCCACGUGAGAGCUCUUCUAACCUCUGUUCCUUUCUGUGACCCCCACGUGGUAAUAUUGAAAAAAACAAAACAAAACUCCAGCUAAGGCAUUGCUCUGACUCUAGGCAGAACAUUCAUUAGUGGGAGCGUGAGAUGAGAUUGUGUGACUGUUGAUGGGAUCGACCCACUCUGGUCUUGGGCGAUGGAAGUUUUCCCUAAGUGCAAGGCCGGUUACUCUGGUGAAUCGUAAUUCAUACCUGGACACUUGAGUGAACUCUGGGCACCCACUUAGAAGUCUAGAGAAUUUCCUCAUUUAUGGAGGAUUUGAUGUCAGACCGUUUUGGGGCUUAGUGAGAUUUGAAUAUAUUAGGAACAUUAACUUUUUAAAUAAAUGUAAUUUCCUGUCGUUUUGAUCAAUGGGGGGAGGGCAGCUGUGUCUAAUUUAGGACUGAUUUAUUCUAACCUCUCUUAAUAAAUGCUUGUAUUCAGAGUCUGUUUGGAAUUUAACGCAAUGCUUAGAACUCCUUAAAUAUACAGAAAUAUAUUUUAGGGGUAAUUGAUUCAUAGAACUCUCCUACUUUGGAGCACAAUUGUAUUACAAUUGUCCAGAAACUGGCCAAAUAAUGUAGAACGCACAAGUUGUUGGGAAGCCC